This 2900-nucleotide long non-coding RNA is filed under the name Citrus maxima (pomelo). RNAcentral describes it as "long non-coding RNA (CMAX_LNC000414)". The record is from RNAcentral. Lineage: Eukaryota; Viridiplantae; Streptophyta; Magnoliopsida; Sapindales; Rutaceae.
CCGCCAUUCCGCUCUUUAAUUUUAACUCUUUUUUAUUCUAAUCUUUAAUAUUUCUUUUUCAGGCUUCCUGUGGGAGCAAAAUUUUGGUGCACGGCGAAUCAUUUUCAGGCAAUAAUAAAUCUCUUUAGUUUGGAAUCUUGUUUCAUUCAUGGCUUGGAACUACGAUAGCAAGAAAAUUUAAUGUCGGCAUUUCACAGGGAAUUAAUAGUAGUUUGUGAUCAAUCAAAUUGUAAUUUUCAAUCAAUCGCAGUGACUAUAAGACAAAGAAAGCACAGCUAGCAUUAUCAAUAAUUCAGAUAAAUCUAAACCAAUCAGUGGAAAAGCUGAAUAGACAGAUAAUGAACCUAAUCUCUUAAAUAUGAGACAGAAUAGCUAUGUCUUCGUGGCUCCUUUUCACGUGGAAAGCUAGACCCUAAUUCAAACAUAAAAAUCACCAUCAAUAAUAUAUCUUCCUUGGCAUCUUGCUCCAUUCGACCAUUAAAUUUAGAUAAUAAGUUAGCUAGUGACAAUGCCAAAAAAGGCUUAUCACCAUCAACAAGAGUGACGGCAAUACGAAGAAACGCUAGGUGUAAAUAAGUGGAUUAAUGUCUACAUUUCACUUAUAAUAAAAAAUAAAUUUAAUUUUUUCUGUCAAUAAUUUUUGUUACUUUGAGUUUUAGACUUUCAGUCCGCGGAAUCUGAAAAAUGAAACCCCCAAAUAACUAAUUCGGAAGCUCAAGAUUGAAAUCAAUAAUUUAAAAAUGAUAAUUAUAUGCAUGCUUAUACCACGUAAUACAUAAUGUUUCUAAUUCAUUUAUUGAUAUUUUAAAUAAUCUCUUGGGUAAAUUUUCGAUUAUUCCGAAUUUAUUAUCUUUAAAUUAUUUCAUUACUAUUAAAAACUUUAAGUUAUUUUAAUUUUUAUUUAAAAAAUGAGAGGAGAGAGCUAAUUUAUAUUUGUUAAAUUAUUUUAACUAUUAACAAUAUUUUAAUAUGAUUAUUCUACUAAACAAAUUAAACUGUUUAUAUUACAUUUGUAUUUAUUAAAAAUUUUGAUGUUCAAUUGUUUUUUUGAACUCUUUAGAUAAGAAACCCUCCCUAAAUUCUCUCUCUCCGUCACUAAUCAAUCUCCCGAAGUCUGUUAUUGAUCGGCUUUAUAAAGUUAAGGUUUGUAAUGCAAAACUGAAAAUCGUUUUUUCGUCCAUUCGUUGCCCUCUCUUGCUCUUUCUAAGCGUUUUAACCAGCCAUCAACUUGGUCAAAUUAGUUGACUCAAGUGCCCACGCGAGGACUUAAAUGAUGAAACUAAUGAAUUGGGCACUUGAAAACUCUGCGUUUUGCUUUGGCUUUGAUUAAUGGCCAACAUGUUCCUGGCCUCAAUCUCAUCAACACUCCUAGUUCUCAAGAUUAUAACAAAUAUAAAGAUUAUCUCUUUUGCACUCACAUCGCUUGGAAGUCAAUCUUUUUUUCUGAUUUUUAUCAUGCGGAAAGGUAAUUUACUCUCCACGUGUGUGUGAAUCAUAUCAAGUACCACUCAAAAGCCCAUAAAUCUAUCUCAUACUAAAAAUUAUAAAAUUUAUUUAACACAAAAAUUAUUUCAAUUUUUCAUAAUAAAUAUAAAUAUACUAUUAAAAUAAAUAUAAUAAUUUACAUUUUAAAAAUUAUUUUGUAUAUUAAAAAUAUUCUAAUAUCAUUAGUCUACUAGAUAAAUUAAAUUAUUUAAAUGAUGUUUAUACUUAUAAAAAAUAAAAAUAAUUACUAUCUUUUGAGGUUGUUACAAUCAACAGAAAAUUUUAGUAUUUUAUAUUAAAAAUUUAUAGGUCUACAUAAUUAUUUUUCUAAAUUUUUAGAGUGUAGAUGUCUUUUUUUUUUUUAUCAUGAAUUUAUCUGAAACCCUUUUUUAUUUUUAUCUAAUCCCAUUUAGUUCUUAGUCUUUAUCUUUUUUUUCCUCCCUCCCUAAUAGUAGAAGCAGACUUCCGUGGUGGCAUAGCAACUGAAAUAUCACAGUGACCAUCUUACUUCCAUCAUACCGAUGAAAGUCAGACAAAAGGCUCAUCAUCACCGUCAAUAAACCAAGAAAAUUCCCGGUCCCAUUUUUCCUUUUUAACACCACAGCGGGGGAAAAAAAUUGAGGCAAAUUCUCAAUCCUUGAGAUAAAUUUUUAAAUAUGAGUUAAAUCAGCAGAUUUUUAUAUACUAUCAUAGUAGACUCACUCAUGAUACUGCACAUCAACUAGUCUCUAUGUAAUGGUGUGAGUGGACCUGCCCACAUCGAGUGACAAUAAGUUCUAGACUGACAAAAAUAAGUUUUUGGCAAUCUCUUGAGCUAGUUUUUAUUUAUUUAUUUUUUAUUAUUAUUAUUAGCAGCUAGGCCCAUGUGCUUCUAUAAAUUGAUAUCCUAUAUAAAUAACUUCCCAUUUUAUAUUCUUGGGUGUUGAUGCUUAAAUGCACAUUUCCUGUAAAUUUGUUAGUACAUCAUAUGGCGUUGUAAUUAACUGAACAAAAAUAUUAAUGGUGAAUUCACAUGAAAUCUGCAUUUAGAUAUCUGCACCUAAAAAAUUUUAUACACGCAUUUUCUUUAAUAAAGAUAUUAUCAUUUUAUUAAAGUGAGGAUGAUCAUUAAAAUAUAAAAAAAUAUAAAUAUUAAUAGAUUGAAAAUUCUAGUUUUUUUUGUUAAUGUAUUGAAAUCUGUUUUUUUUAUUAAUUGGUAGCAUCUUUAUUUUAUCAAAGUGAGGAUAUUCAUAGAGAAUGAAUAUAUAUAUGUGUGUGUGUGAAGUUUGAAACGGCUUAUAGAAUGAGACUUACCUUCCAAACAUCUCACAUGGCUUUAAUUGGGCUUUUGGAUAUCUUCUUGGCAAUCAUUUGCUUCUUGAUUCUUCGAUAUUGUUUCAGCAAUAACAAUGGAAUCCCAAAGAACUUCCCAGUCG